AAGAAGUUAGUUAAAUCGUCCUUAUAAUAUUGAGUUGUCAAGUCAAAGUAAUCACAAAUAUUACUUCUUA
RNAcentral lists this transfer RNA (70 nucleotides) under Cacopsylla citrisuga. Its description in RNAcentral is "tRNA-Asp". Lineage: Eukaryota; Metazoa; Arthropoda; Insecta; Hemiptera; Psyllidae. The record is from RNAcentral.